This 479-nucleotide ribosomal RNA is filed under the name uncultured bacterium. RNAcentral's name for it is "bacterial SSU rRNA". It matches the Rfam family "Bacterial small subunit ribosomal RNA", at positions 28 to 507 of the family's 1533-position model. The record is from RNAcentral.
GACGAACGCUGGCGGCGUGCUUAACACAUGCAAGUCGAACGAGAAUCUAUGGAAAGAGGAUUCGUCCAAUUGAAAUAGAGGACAGUGGCGGACGGGUGAGUAACGCGUGAGGAACCUGCCUUUCAGAGGGGGACAACAGUUGGAAACGACUGCUAAUACCGCAUAACGCAUAGAGGUCGCAUGGUCUGAUGUCAAAGAUUUAUCGCUGAAAGAUGGCCUCGCGUCUGAUUAGCUAGUUGGUGAGGUAACGGCCCACCAAGGCGACGAUCAGUAGCCGGACUGAGAGGUUGAACGGCCACAUUGGGACUGAGAUACGGCCCAGACUCCUACGGGAGGCAGCAGUGGGGAAUAUUGGGCAAUGGGCGCAAGCCUGACCCAGCAACGCCGCGUGAAGGAAGAAGGCUUUCGGGUUGUAAACUUCUUUUGUCAGGGACGAGUAGAAGACGGUACCUGACGAAUAAGCCACGGCUAACUACGUG